GACAACAACUAACGAGCAAUCGAUCGGCGCGACGGUAACCCGAUAACCCGGUGACCCGACGAGAAAAUCGACCGUGUGGGAGAGACGCUCGAUGAGUAAGGCGUGUCCGAAGUAACGGAGGGGAGCAACGGCAGCACAUCGGCUGAUAAUACUUUCCUAAACUCUUCUACGAGGGUCCUGUAAAAUAUUCAACGGCAUAAUAUCUAGGACGCGAAAAGUGAGAUUAGGAUAAUGACGAAGACUGGAUAUUGGCGCUCUUGGAGAAGAAGAAGCAAGCUCCUUUAAGCGAAAAUUCAAAUCAAAGAAGAUCAAAGAAUUGAUGGACGGAAGAGAGUACGGAGAUCCCAGGACACGCGUGACGAGAAGUGUCAGAGCGAAUCAGCUGGGAUAAUCAUCAAGAAUGAACCGUGUAAAUCCGCCUUCAGCUGCAAUGCUGCGGAUAGCGGAGGAGCAAUGGCCGGGCGGCGACGAAGGACGGGAAGGCUACGUGGAAAUUACCGCGCCAGCAGCAGAGCGUCUCUCGUUAAAUGCAUCCGACUGUUGUUUUAUUAAGCGUAAGCGUAAUCGCUUUAGCAAUGCCGGGCGCAAUCGCGGAGCGAAUAUACUGGCGAAUCGAGCCGCGCCGAGACGCGGACUGCAUUUCGCGAGCUUGUGCCGUAUCGCGCGAUCCGCCAGCCGCGGAUGCUUCGGUAAGCUCGCUUUUUACGAACCGGCAAACUGGCUCGAGACUUUUACGACAGAAAGAAGACCGAUUACGAAGCGCCGAGACAAGACGACGGGCUAUUGUCUUGAUUACACUGUUGAAGUACUCGAGAUUGAAAACAAUUUCGAAUCAAAACUGGUAAGUCGGUCACGUCGAACUCGUCUGCUAAUCAAUUUCGCGUGUGGUCGAGGAUGCACAGCGAGGAUACGUUUCUCGCUUCAAUGCCGUUGAAAUAUUCGUAAAAUUGUAAUCAGCCCGCGGAACACGCGGUCGGCAAAUUUUAUGUUUUCAACGAGCGAUGAGAAUUUUCCGCUAUCACGCUGUUCAUCCCUCGGGCCCAUUGUAAUGCGGCUCGAAUACGGGGAAAUAGAUACGCUCUCGCGAUGCACGCGGAAAAGCUCGGUAUUUUGGCCCGAACGAGCGUUACAAAGGGCGGAGUCCGUGUUCUUAUUUCACUGUCAGGAGCGCGAGCGGCGAAACGAGAGACCGAGCCGGACGGUUCACGGUAAUUAGUACGCGAAGAACGGGCUUUUUAGUCUUAAACGAACUAGCUUGCCGGGGUUUAUCCCGAAAGCGGUGUCGUUAAGCCGCGCGGACAAAGAAACGGAAGGAAAAUACGAAAAGCGGAGACGAAUGCUGGCUGACUGGCCGACGCGGUGGGCGAGUCGCUUCUUGCGGGACUUUAAAAUGCAGCCAAUUUCGCGAAUGUAAAGACAAUUGCCCUCGCGAUACAUUUUACACGAAAUAUGCGUACACAAAGGACCAAAAAUUUUUAAUAAAAUCGAUAUCAAUUUUCCGAACGUCGAUUAAUUUAAAGAAAAUUAAAUAUGCGUCGAAAAAUCGCAUAAAAGCCGCCGAUUGUUCAAUCACUGAUUACCAGCUACUAUAAAAUUUUAAUAAAUUGGUGAAGAAAUUUUUUCAAUGCGUCCAUCAAAAUUAAAGCAAAUUUUUCAAUGAAAAAUUUGAUAAGACAGAAGUGUUAAUCGCGGAAAGAUAGAUUGAUACAAAAGAUUCCGGAAGCCUGGCGAUAGAUCGAAGAUCACAACGACGGAUGAUCCGCGGCGCGUUUUCAACUUUUGGCUCGAUUUCACGAGCAUCGCGCAUUUGUUGCGGAAUUAUGGCGGCUCGUUUCGCAGGAUAAAAUGUACACGGACGAAACCGCUUUACGUGGAUCCUAUCGCGUGACGUGCGAGUGCGCACAGCACAGCCGUGAGAUGAAAUUCAGCUUCGGGUAAUCGAGAAAAUCCAGGAUCGAGGAUAUCGCACGCGGAGUAGGUUUAGGACGGAAGUUACCUAAGAAUCCUCUCGACCGUAAUCCACGUCGUAAUCGCCGGCUAUACCCACGGGCCUGGCGAGGACCCAACUCUAUUUUCUCUUAUUCAAACCUACCCCUUCUCCCCCCUCUCUACGCUCUUCCGCCUCGACCAAUUUCUGCGCCCCGCUUCACCCGGCACAGCCGAGCGCAUCGUUUUUAUAGAUUCGCGCAAAUUCACGGGAUGCUUCUGUGCACACCGCGGGGAGACAGCGUUUUAAGGCGAAAUUACGAUAAUUGAGCCGCCGCGUGGAAUAGCGGCUUAAGCCGGUAAAAAUACAAUUUUGGACUAUAUUGGUUUUCGUGCACAAUUAUUUCGACGUGAAUUAUCUUUCUUCAUAGAACUGCAAAAAUAACGCGAUAAAGUAGCUGGAUGUUACAUCAGAUUUCACGAAAUUCCUUUUCCUUUCCUUAAAAUGAGGAAAAUGCAAUUUAUACCGCUGUGUUGUUGAACGGAUGAAAUAUUCUCCCAUUAUCGAUUGUUCUGUUAUUGUUUUAUGCAUAAUAGACCAUUAUGCGAUAAUGUACGUCUUCAUUAAUUGCGGAAACGUAUUGGGUAUUGCGAUACGCUGAAUCGUCACGUUUCAUUCUCGUCAUAAAUUUGAAAAAAUUUCGUUACUGACUUUUUUUGCAGCAAGACCGAUCAAAAAGCUAGUUAUAGAGUUAUUUAGCGCAGAAAAUAUUUCGAGAGACACCUGAAAUGUCAGUAUGCAAUUUUCAACAUCGUUUUCAAUGAAUCUAUUAUUGCAUUGUCAGUUCGGCAAUUGAUUUCUUUAAGACUGAUUAUUUCAUACACAUAUAAAUGUCACCACAAUACGGCUUUUCAGGAGUAUAACGAUUUACACACACGUUGUAUAAAUAUGGGAAUGCAUGGCGACGCAUUGAUAAUUCAAUCCCGAUUGGUAAAGGACAAUAUGCGCACGAGAAAGAUACGCACGAACAAUGCUAUUAUAUAUAACCUGUCGGCUCGCAAACAAUCCAAAUAAUGUAUAUAAUGGCUUUGUAUACGAGUAAACUAGACCAACCAAUGCUGCGCGUUAUUGGUUAAUGAGAGAUUUCUGUUAUUUUGUCAGUGACGCCAUUAAUAUCGAUCUGUCCGGUUCGCGGGACUAUCUUGUGCAAAAUGUCACCGAACUUGAACGAGACAGUCAAAGAUUGUUUCGAUCUUUCCGCAAAUAAAAUUAUUUAACGCCUUGUGUCUCGACAUAUCAACGUUAAAAUUUCAACAGAGAAAAUUACGUAAUUCAAUUUUAUUUAAUUGUUUUUACGAUAACGGAGAUUACAUAAUAAAAUGACAUACCGAUUAUAUAAUUAAAUUUCAAACCGAAAUACUUAGUAAACAGACUCCGCAAUAAUUAUUUCUAUUACUCUUUUACAACACUAAUCGUAUUAUUCUCGCACGAAAUUUUGCACAACACAUCAUAUAUGUACAAAAAACGUAUUUUUUUAUGAU
Molecule: non-coding RNA, 3468 nt
Organism: Linepithema humile (Argentine ant)
Lineage: Eukaryota; Metazoa; Arthropoda; Insecta; Hymenoptera; Formicidae
Source: RefSeq, a predicted model, not a curated record